RNAcentral lists this ribosomal RNA (245 nucleotides) under uncultured bacterium. RNAcentral describes it as "partial 16S ribosomal RNA". It matches the Rfam family "Bacterial small subunit ribosomal RNA", at positions 524 to 768 of the family's 1533-position model. The record is from RNAcentral.
UACGUAGGGUGCGAGCGUUAAUCGGAAUUACUGGGCGUAAAGCGUGCGCAGGCGGUUGGGCAAGACAGAUGUGAAAGCCCCGGGCUUAACCUGGGAAUGGCAUUUGUGACUGCCCGGCUAGAGUGUGUCAGAGGGGGGUAGAAUUCCACGUGUAGCAGUGAAAUGCGUAGAGAUGUGGAGGAACACCGAUGGCGAAGGCAGCCCCCUGGGAUAACACUGACGCUCAGGCACGAAAGCGUGGGGAG